GAUGAAGAACGUAGCGAAAUGCGAUAAGUAAUGUGAAUUGCAGAAUUCAGUGAAUCAUCGAAUCUUUGAACGCACCUUGCGCUCUUUGGUAUUCCGAAGAGCAUGCCUGUUUGAGUGUCAUGAAAAUAUCAACCUUGACUUGGGUUUUGUGCUCUAGUCUCGGCUUGGAAUUGGGUGCUUGCCGCCUUUACGAGCGGCUCACCUUAAAUGUAUUAGCUGGAUCUGUCUUUGAGACUUGGUUUGACUUGGCGUAAUAAGUAUUUCGCUAAGGACAUUCUUCGGAGUGGCCUCGUUUCUAGGACGCUUGUCCGCUUUCCAAUACAAGUUCCACCUCGUGGACAUGACUUUUUAUUAUCUGGCCUCAAAUCAGGUAGGACUACCCGCUGAACUUAAGCAUAUCAAUAAGCGGAGGA
RNAcentral lists this unclassified non-coding RNA (413 nucleotides) under soil metagenome. RNAcentral's name for it is "partial contains 5.8S ribosomal RNA, internal transcribed spacer 2, and large subunit ribosomal RNA". The stretch from base 1 to 120 matches the Rfam family "5.8S ribosomal RNA", at positions 35 to 154 of the family's 154-position model. The record is from RNAcentral.